CCAAGUACCUAUGCCCACAGUUGCCCCCUCAUGUGCCCCUACAUCAAAGGCUAUUGCACUGGCAGCUAAAAGAUAUAUGUGGAACUAGCCAAGGGGUGGAAGGUAAACAAUAUUGAGUAAGAGUGUUGUUCGAAAUCCAAGGCGCAUAUCGAUCUACUGAGAAUCAAACAAUCACACAAUCAUGAAGACGCCAAGAUUUGUUAACAUGGUACGCCUAACAUCGGCUACAUCCCUAGGGCAUGACUACAAGCGCUCCUCCCCAUUGAAUGAUACCGCUACAAAUCUACAAUACCGCACACCGGUUGCCCAAGCACCAACACAUGCUGCCGACUCCCUCGCGUACUUGUUCUAUUAUGUUGGCAUAGGUUACAUUGUGUGCCUACCCUCACAUUAUAAAGGAGCCUAGGAUACAGGUGUCCAACUCGAACAUGACUCCAUACCCCUAUUGUUAGAAUAAAUCCGAGGCUCUCCGCCGAUCUACCGAGGACCAAGCAAUCACACAAGCACGACACCGAGAUCUGUUAACGGGGUUCACCGAUAUGGCUACAUCCCCGGGGCAUGACUACGGGCGCUCCUCCCCGUGACACCGUCACAAUACCGCACCCUGGCCGCCCGGGCGCCAGCACACGCCGUCGGCUCCCCCCAUGUGCGUGUGCUAUUAUGUUGGCAUAGGUUACAUCGUGUGUCUACCCUCUCAUUAUAUAAGAGGCAUAAGGGUACAGGUGUCCUAAUAGGACACGACGCCUACCUUGUCUACACACCGUACGACUCCAAGUCCAACUGUAACCUACCUUGUACAAUAAUAUUCGACACAACUCUAACAAAUUCCACCUUGGCGAAUAUUCUCCACCGCCUUGGAUUCGUCCAUGCGUCAAACCUCCAUGUACAUUGGACUUGAGAUAAGCCAUGAGCACCACUGCUACUCCCAGACUCCAUGUGACUCCACCUGCAACUGUAGUCCCUUCUCGUCUUCUUCACAGUCAACCCUCAAGCAAAGUUAAGUUCCUUAUUACCCUACUUUGUGCUUCCAACUUCCGGAGUAUCCGUUCAACGCCAUCACACACUGAUCACUGACCUGCGUGAAAGUGAACAACCCACAUAUUGAAUGCCACAUAUAAGACUUACCUGAACUCAACAUCCUCGCUCUUUCUUGACCGUCCGUAUGAAACUUGAAGGAAUUUCACCAUCGCCUUGUGUCACCCCAAGUCAAAUUCGCAGUUGUCUCAUCCUUUUCUCGAAUAGUCUCUGACAUGUCCCACAGCUAUAGCACUCCGCCUCCUUCUGUACUUGUCAUCCGCACUUUGCCAUGUGCAGUGAACCCCACAGAAUAUACGGUCAUGUACUCUCUCCGCUUAUGACAAUUCAGACUUUCCGUCACUUUCUCAGAUUCUCCAUGGUCAACUCCCGUCCAUCAAACCGGCACCGAUAGACCCAGUCACCAACUUGAAUCCGAUACUCGCCAACACUGCUUCAGCACCCUUUUCACAAUUUGUCUGACCACAUGUCUGACCACCAGUGCUUGGUCUGUCGCUAUGUCCCGUGCUUACCGCACGCCUCGCCGCUAUCACCGCGUCAAGCAUGUGCUACCCUGGUCGAGUUUCCCAAGGUCGCGAACCCACACCACUCAACCCCCACUGCAGAGAACCACCGAUCAUCACCGACCGGUGCCGAGUAUCACGUCUCCAUUAGACCACUGGUACCCAGUCCGAUCCACGUGUCUCUCGCUAUCCGCUGAAAUAGGCUUCGACUCUCCAUGCAUUUACGCCGUAGCCCCUCCAUCAGCACAGAGUGAAAUCUUCCGCUAGACUCCAGCUCCACCUUCAACAUGACUCCAUGUAGCUGGCCCUGCUACCCCGCGCCCUGUUGACUUCAAGCUCUCAUGUGUGCACUGCCUUUCAUUAACCCUACGCCAUAGUCUGUUGAAGCCGCACAAGCCCUCGGGCCUGCACCACGUGUUUCCACGCCCUAGAAGUUGGCCACCAUCAGCAUCACGCUCCUAUGUCGUCGUCGCUGAAAUCACCACCGUCUUCUGCUUUGACCGACAUCCUCGUCGAUCCGUCAGACAGUCCCGUCUGACCCAGCCGAAAUUAUCUAACUGCAACCAUGCUCCACCCUUCGUCGUUUCCGCCCCGCAUACCUCCGUGCAUUGCUUGACGCCCUGUGUAUGCAUGAUCCUGACACAGCAUGCUCCAGACUCCACUUGAGCCUUGUACGCACGACGUCGCUGCACACGUCCAUCUUCAUCAACUUGCAUCAUGUCAAUCUUUCAUGGACUUGCAACCGCGCCUUUGUUUCUCGUAACGUGCGCCGCAGCCAUCCUGUACAUACAUGUACGUGUACCAAGCAAAGAGAGCCAACCCAAGAAUUUCUCUAGGAGCAUUCCUGUGAACAACAUCAAGUUCGUUUAUCUUACUCACGUGCAGCCCCAAACCUUUUCCAUCCUGCUCUUUUCCUUGAUCCCCAUGGAUAGCUACACAUACGGUGCCUGACGCCCUUUUUCCUUUAACAAAUCUCACGCCGUCAAGCUGUCCUGCACGCUUCGCCGAGCCAACUCAUACAACUCCUGUCAAAGCCUUUCCACUCCGGCCGUAAGUUCCUGAUGGACCACGCCCUGCUUGAGCCACGUGCUACCCUUGGGAUCCCCGUGUACCUUGAGCCAUGCUAGUGCUGCACCUCGGCCAUGAGAAAUCCUCACGCCCUUGCUACUCCGUACACGUAGACCUGUUGGGCAGCCACGCCUUGACCCAGCCGCCCACCUGGUACUACCUGCUCCGUCCGGCUCGGCCACAGCACGCGCGAGCGCUCCACUAGGCCUCAGCCGAUGCUGCUGUCCGGCCACAUGCCGAGCUAAGGUGUUGCAUCGCUCGCCUAAUUGAUCGCGCUGUUGUCGUAUGCUAGGUCACCAGCUUGCCACGCACCCUGCUGCCUGAUGCUUGUCCCGGUCUCAUCAAUUGCUCCUGAUCCGAUCUCCUCGUCGCUCCCGUCGAAUACCGCACGAAAAAUCUUCCAAUCGAUCAGCUUCGAUACGAUUAUUCUGCACAUUGAUUUCAACGCGACUUCCCAAGAUCCAUCCUCUAGAUCAACAUCACGACCUCUUCCAACCUUGCUCAUGAUACCACUUGUUAGAAUAAAUCCGAGGCUCUCCGCCGAUCUACCGAGGACCAAGCAAUCACACAAGCACGACACCGAGAUUUGUUAACGAGGUUCACCGAUAUGGCUACAUCCCCGGGGCAUGAUUACGGGCGCUCCUCCCCGUGACACCGUCACAAUACCGCACCCUGGCCACCCGGGCGCCAGCACACGCCGUCGGCUCCCCCCAUGUGUCUGUGCUAUUAUGUUGGCAUAGGUUACAUCGUGUGUCUACCCUCUCAUUAUAUAAGAGGCAUAAGGGUACAGGUGUCCUAAUAGGACACGACUCCUACCUUGUCUACACACCGUACGACUACAAGUCCAACUGUAACCUACCUUGUACAAUAAUAUUCGACACAACUCUAACACCUAUCCACACACCAUAUGACUCAAAAGUUAAGCUGUAUCGUAACUCGCACAAAACAUUUAACACG
RNAcentral lists this long non-coding RNA (3563 nucleotides) under Hordeum vulgare. Its description in RNAcentral is "long non-coding RNA (HVUL_LNC007539)". Lineage: Eukaryota; Viridiplantae; Streptophyta; Magnoliopsida; Poales; Poaceae. The record is from RNAcentral.